GGAGGGCCUGUGGCUCGGUGGUAGAGCUCCUGCUUGGGAUGCAGAAGGCCCAGGUUCAAUCCCUGGCAUCUCCA
Molecule: non-coding RNA, 74 nt
Organism: Euleptes europaea (tarantolino)
Lineage: Eukaryota; Metazoa; Chordata; Lepidosauria; Squamata; Sphaerodactylidae
Source: the annotation of a RefSeq genome assembly